RNAcentral lists this ribosomal RNA (497 nucleotides) under uncultured bacterium. RNAcentral's name for it is "partial 16S ribosomal RNA". It matches the Rfam family "Bacterial small subunit ribosomal RNA", at positions 28 to 507 of the family's 1533-position model. The record is from RNAcentral.
GAUGAACGCUGGCGGCGUGCCUAAUACAUGCAAGUCGAGCGAACAGACGAGGAGCUUGCUCCUCUGACGUUAGCGGCGGACGGGUGAGUAACACGUGGAUAACCUACCUAUAAGACUGGGAUAACUUCGGGAAACCGGAGCUAAUACCGGAUAAUAUAUUGAACCGCAUGGUUCAAUAGUGAAAUACGGUUUUGCUGUCACUUAUAGAUGGAUCCGCGCCGCAUUAGCUAGUUGGUAAGGUAACGGCUUACCAAGGCGACGAUGCGUAGCCGACCUGAGAGGGGGGUCGGCCACAUUGGAACUGAGACACGGUCCAGACUCCUACGGGAGGCAGCAGUAGGGAAUCUUCCGCAAUGGGCGAAAGCCUGACGGAGCAACGCCGCGUGAGUGAUGAAGGCCCUCGGAGCGUAAAACUCUGUUAUUAGGGAAGAACAAAUGUGUAAGUAACUAUGCACGUCUUGACGGUACCUAAUCAGAAAGCCCCGGCUAACUACGUG